CUUUCAAGCAGAAAAAUGAAAAGACCUUUUUUUUUAAUGCAAUUUUCCCUUGUGAAGCUCCCCUUGGUUUCUGAUUGUUGCCAAUUGUAAAGCACAUGCACAAAUAGUUUUCGUCAGUCAUCACAUAAACAGAGUGUAAAACUCCUUAGCAGACUGCACAUCAUGCUAGAGAAGAAUUCUACAGUUAUUUGAUCCAGCCAAUAUGAUUUCAAAUUCUGAACAUUUUUAAAAUUGUAGAUGGUAAGUCAUACCAUUCAGUUAAUAAAUUAUUAGUGUUCAAA
This 281-nucleotide unclassified non-coding RNA is filed under the name Hevea brasiliensis (rubber tree). The record is from RNAcentral. Lineage: Eukaryota; Viridiplantae; Streptophyta; Magnoliopsida; Malpighiales; Euphorbiaceae.